UUGAUUGCACGUGGGAGCGAUUGAAACUAUCUAUGACUGUUGUACAAGUUCACAAAACUAAUAAGUGUUUGUGGUCACUUUGUUGUCUAAUUAAAUUUUAGUUUUACUUCUGUGAGACGAUUUCGUACGCGCUGCCUGUCUUGUCCCUGUCAAUCUGUCAAUCACUAUUGAACAUGCGAUUCGGACUUGCUAAAUAUAUUGUCAGAUCACCAUCUUUGGUCGAAUCCCAAAGCCGUUCAUGUUGCCGCUCCUGAACCGAUAACCGAGGAUGCCACUUUUUGUUUCUGAUAUUCCUUUUCAUGAUUGUCGCUAAUGUUGAACCAAGCUCAGCCGAUCGCUAUUUCAUCUCAGCAAAACCACACAAAAUCUGAUUGCUCGUUCCCUUGCGUUACGUGAGGGCAUGCUCUAUAGGAUGACUAGGAAGGAUAGUAGAGCCUUGAAGUGGCCAAGUAGAAUGAGCAAGUACAACAGUACAUGAUGUAAUUUUGCCUAUCCGUCCGUAGUUCCCA
This 509-nucleotide long non-coding RNA is filed under the name Hordeum vulgare. RNAcentral's name for it is "long non-coding RNA (HVUL_LNC014793)". The record is from RNAcentral. Lineage: Eukaryota; Viridiplantae; Streptophyta; Magnoliopsida; Poales; Poaceae.